Molecule: ribosomal RNA, 817 nt
Filed under: uncultured bacterium
Lineage: Bacteria
Description: bacterial SSU rRNA
Rfam family: Bacterial small subunit ribosomal RNA
Source: RNAcentral
AGAGUUUGAUCAUGGCUCAGAACGAACGCUGGCGGCAGGCUUAACACAUGCAAGUCGAGCGCCGUUAGCAUACGGAGCGGCAGACGGGUGAGUAACGCGUGGGAACAUACCCCUCGGUUCGGAAUAACUCAGGGAAACUUGAGCUAAUACCGGAUACGGCCGAGAGGCGAAAGAUUUAUCGCCGAGGGAUUGGCUCGCGUCCGAUUAGCUAGUUGGUGUGGUAACGGCGCACCAAGGCGACGAUUGGUAGCUGGUCUGAGAGGAUGAUCAGCCACAUUGGGACUGAGACACGGCCCAAACUCCUACGGGAGGCAGCAGUGGGGAAUAUUGGACAAUGGGCGCAAGCCUGAUCCAGCCAUGCCGCGUGAGUGAUGACGGCCUUAGGGUUGUAAAGCUCUUUCGCACGCGACGAUAAUGACGGUAGCGUGAGAAGAAGCCCCGGCUAACUUCGUGCCAGCAGCCGCGGUAAUACGAAGGGGGCUAGCGUUGUUCGGAAUUACUGGGCGUAAAGCGCGUGUAGGCGGGCUUUUAAGUCAGGGGUGAAAUGCCGAGGCUCAACCUCGGAACUGCCUUUGAUACUGGAAGUCUUGAGUCCGGGAGAGGUGAGUGGAACUGCGAGUGUAGAGGUGAAAUUCGUAGAUAUUCGCAAGAACACCAGUGGCGAAGGCGGCUCACUGGCCCGGAACUGACGCUGAGACGCGAAAGCGUGGGGAGCAAACAGGAUUAGAUACCCUGGUAGUCCACGCUGUAAACGAUGGAUGCUAGCCGUUGGGGAGCUUGCUCUUCAGUGGCGCAGCUAACACUUUAAGCAUCCCGC